AAAUCUUUUUAGAAAAAGGUUUUUCUCUUACAGGUGAAAGAUCCGACAUCCCCAAGCGAUCAGGUGUGAGAGAGCAGCCGUCUUCGACAGGGUCCCCAGGAAACAUACCGUCACGCAGAAGGCUUCCAGGAGAAUGUUCUCAGGAGACAUUUUGGUCAUCAAGUGGGAAGGAUGGGAUCUCCUGCAUUGUUUGCCUCACUGUAGAGAAGAGGAAAUGCAGCUGUCUCAGCCACCGCCACCAUCAGCUCAUCCUGUAAUGUGAUUGGUCAUCUCAGCCUCCCCUGGGAAGAAGGCUGCAUUUCAGCGUGACCCCAUUAUGCUCCAAGCCCAGGUCUAAUGAGAUUGGACUCACAGAAUCCAAAGGUGCAACCCAAAUCAGAAGUGUGGAUGAGUGAACCCUUGUGAGGCAAACUCUACCCAGCGAGAGAAAAAAGAUAGCCGGAGUCCGCAAAUAAACUCUUCACUCUUCCUUGUUCCAAAAGUCAGUUCCCAAUUAUAGUCAUUCCACAGUUUUUCCAGGGAUGUCCUAAAGACAUGACCAAGAGAUUAACUGUGUUUCUUGUGAGCCUGUGGCCCACUCAGCAAUGCCCCC
Molecule: long non-coding RNA, 592 nt
Filed under: Mustela putorius furo (domestic ferret)
Lineage: Eukaryota; Metazoa; Chordata; Mammalia; Carnivora; Mustelidae
Description: lncRNA (ENSMPUG00000031349.1)
Source: RNAcentral